GUGGAGGGUGUGGUAGGUGUUAUGCUGCUCUGCUGGCCACUCUCUUCCAGCCAAUAUCAGGGUGAUGAGGUGCUGUCUGGCUGAGGACUGAAGCUGCUGAACCACAUGAGAAAAGCACGAAUAGACCCAUUGAGUAAGACCUGAAUGAAGCCUUGGAGUAUGUAUGAAUUAAUAGAGGGAUAUUAACAGAAGGAAGAGGAAAGAAUGACAACUGUUAUGGAGAUCAGACAUGCGUGUCUUAGGGUUGCAGAGCUUUUCACUGGAGUUCAUCUCAUCAUUCCUUUUAAUCACGUUCUAUGCACAUACAGAUUUUAAUGGUGUACAAAGCCUG
Molecule: long non-coding RNA, 331 nt
Organism: Heteronotia binoei (common prickly gecko)
Lineage: Eukaryota; Metazoa; Chordata; Lepidosauria; Squamata; Gekkonidae
Exons: 3
Source: RefSeq, a predicted model, not a curated record